This 505-nucleotide ribosomal RNA is filed under the name uncultured bacterium. Its description in RNAcentral is "partial 16S ribosomal RNA". It matches the Rfam family "Bacterial small subunit ribosomal RNA", at positions 28 to 507 of the family's 1533-position model. The record is from RNAcentral.
GACGAACGCUGGCGGCGUGCCUAAUACAUGCAAGUAGAACGCACAGUUUAUACCGUAGCUUGCUACACCAUAGACUGUGAGUUGCGAACGGGUGAGUAACGCGUAGGUAACCUGCCUGGUAGCGGGGGAUAACUAUUGGAAACGAUAGCUAAUACCGCAUAAUAUUAAUUAUAGCAUGAUAAUUAAUUGAAAGGUGCAAUUGCACCACUACCAGAUGGACCUGCGUUGUACUAGCUAGUAGGUGAGGUAACGGCUCACCUAGGCGACGAUACAUAGCCGACCUGAGAGGGUGAUCGGCCACACUGGGACUGAGACACGGCCCAGACUCCUACGGGAGGCAGCAGUAGGGAAUCUUCGGCAAUGGACGAAAGUCUGACCGAGCAACGCCGCGUGAGUGAAGAAGGUUUUCGGAUCGUAAAGCUCUGUUGUAAGAGAAGAACGGGUGUGAGAGUGGAAAGUUCACACUGUGACGGUAUCUUACCAGAAAGGGACGGCUAACUACGUG